UCGUUUACCGUGAAAAAAUUAGAGUGUUCAAAGCAGGCAGAUCCAAUUUUCUGCCACCGAAUACAUUAGCAUGGGAUAAUGGAAUAGGACCCUGUCCUCCUAUUUUCAGUUGGUUUUGGCAGCGCGAGGACUAGGGUAAUGAUUAAUAGGGAUAGUUGGGGGCAUUAAUAUUUAAUUGUCAGAGGUGAAAUUCUUGGAUUUAUGAAAGAUUAACUUCUGCGAAAGCAUCUGCCAAGGAUGUUUUCAUUAAUCAAGAACGAAAGUUAGGGGAUCGAAGACGAUCAGAUACCGUCGUAGUCUUAACCAUAAACGAUGCCGACCAGCGAUUAGGAGACGUUGAAUACAAAACACCACCAUCGGUGCGGUCGUCCUUGGCGUCUCGGUCCUUCACGGGGCCGGGGCGCGGGGGUGGCUUAGCCCGGUGGCACCGGUGAAUGACUCCCCUAGCAGCUUGUGAGA
This 459-nucleotide ribosomal RNA is filed under the name Acanthamoeba genotype T4. RNAcentral describes it as "SSU rRNA". It matches the Rfam family "Eukaryotic small subunit ribosomal RNA", at positions 748 to 1095 of the family's 1831-position model. Lineage: Eukaryota; Discosea; Longamoebia; Acanthamoebidae. The record is from RNAcentral.